Alligator mississippiensis (American alligator) is the source of this 778-nucleotide long non-coding RNA. RefSeq lists it as uncharacterized. The record is from RefSeq and is a predicted model, not a curated record. The transcript is spliced from 3 exons. NCBI's taxonomy places the organism in Eukaryota, Metazoa, Chordata, Crocodylia, Alligatoridae.
CCUAAUUCAGCUUAAUUUUAAUUCUACUUCCUUCCUCCUCCCCUCGGACCUAUCUUUUUCUUGGAACCUCAGCAGCACAUCCCCAACUCUUCCUCUCAUCUGCUUCUUGCUGCUGUCCUGGGACUUGACUUUUCUGCCCAGACGUCACAAACAAGGUGAAACCCACACUAAGUGAUGUUGAGGAGGGUGCCUCCAUAAGAUGAACAUGGAAUUGGCCAGAUAUCAGAGAUCACAUUGCACCAUCCUAAGGAAAUGCACUCCAUUUGACGAGCUCAAAGGAGACUGAAACAAAAUAACUCCCAUCAAGUUUUUUCUGGGGAAGAAUAACUCUACAAUGCUCCGAAGCAUGGGCAAAUGGCUAAACUUCAAAACAAUUCCAAAAUCUUUUACUUUUAGGUCUGUAUUCUAAAUGACCAAAAACAAUUGUCUGCAUCAGUGUCAGUUGUUCUAGUAAAACCUUAUAGAGAGCUGCCUGAACAAGUGAAGAAAGCACCUACGCUGCUUCAAGACAACACCACUACAAGCAAUGAACAGCAGUAGUAUGACACCAAAGAAAAAGAAAGAGGCUACAAAUUGUUUUGCCAGCAUGAUAAAAAUAAUGGGGACUUCAAUGUGAUUGAUAAAUGAAACUUUCAAAAGCACUGCCAAAUACUGAGCUUUAAACUAUUCUUGCAAUAAUUGGAAUUUAAAAUGCUAAUGUUUGCUGAGAAAGGGUGCCAUGUGCCUGAAAGCUUGUUUAAGAUCCUUCCAAUAAAUUAUAUCACCCCAAAAAUCCUUA